This 441-nucleotide ribosomal RNA is filed under the name uncultured bacterium. RNAcentral describes it as "partial 16S ribosomal RNA". It matches the Rfam family "Bacterial small subunit ribosomal RNA", at positions 338 to 795 of the family's 1533-position model. The record is from RNAcentral.
CCUACGGGCGGCAGCAGUGGGGAAUAUUGCUCAAUGGGGGAAACCCUGAUGCAGCGACGCCGCGUGAGUGAAGACGUACCUAGGUAUGUUAAGCUCUAUCAGCCGGGAAGAAGAAAGCCGGUACCUGACUAAGAAGACCCGGCUAACUACGUGCCAGCAGCCGCGGUAAUACGUAGGGGGCAAGCGUUAACCGGAGUUACUGGGUGUAAAGGGAGCGUAGACGGCUGUGCAAGUCUGAAGUGAAAGCCCAGGGCUCAACCCUGGGACUGCUUUGGAAACUGUGGGGCUAGAGUGCUGGAGAGGUAAGUGGAAUUCCUGGUGUAGCGGUGAAAUGCAUAGAUAGUGGGAGGAACACCAGUGGCGAAGGCGGCUUACUGGAUAGUAACUGACGUUGAGGCUCGAAAGCGUGGGGAGCGAACAGGAUUAGAUACCCCUGUAGUC